UUAUCUCAGUGCAUAGUCUUUAUUGGUUCAAUCCCAUAUGAAACAUUUGUUAGAUUUCCAGAUUCGUCCCUAGGAAACCCAAGGAAACUUUAUACCAUUCUUUUAGAAACAUAUGGGUACAGAUAUAUAUAGGUCUUUCAUACUUGUGUGUAUAUAUAUAUAUAUAUGUACAUAGAGUUAGAGUGACAGUAAGCGAAUUCAGUUUAUUAACCACGAACUUCAAAUAAUACCAAAACUUAGAAUAAAGAGGAAAAGAAAGAAUAAAUUCCUGCCUGCCUUCUCCAGCUUCUUCCUGCCCUUCUGUAUGUGCUCUAAUCUCAGGACACCCUGGACCACUCCCGGAUCCCAAACACGACCCAUUGGAACACUCACGCUUCCUGCUGGCCACCUGCAUUUGCUGCUUCCCCAAGCCCUCCCCUGAUAAUCUGGGCUCUCCUUCCUCUGAGCCCCAUCACUGUCUGGUACUCUCUUCAUGGGAUUUAUCUUGAUCCGUCUUAUUUUAUAAUUACUUCCCCUGCCCGUGGAUGAGAGGAUUAUAAACUCGCUGCAAAGAGAAAAACCGUUCAGCACAUUCUCUGUGUCCCUCUAAGGAUGAGCAGGAUAUCUCAGGUAGUACAGCCUCAAUAAGCAUUUUCUUAAGUACAAGAAAUUGGGCUUUUCUUUCUCAGUUGAUCAUUAAGUUCAGUUGACUGUCUUUAUCAGUUGCUUAUUUGACAGUCACGUUGCUCAUUCUGUAAUAAUAGAGCAUUGAUUUUACUUAGUACUCAGUAAUAAGUCACAAAAGUCUAUAACUUGCUCAUCAGCUUCUCUCUGUUGUAGACCAAAAAGAAGUACCAAGAACUGGCCGAGAGCCCUAGAAAGCUCUGAGGAGCGACUGUAGUGAUGCUGGCAGCACAUUCCAGCAGAGGGCCGAGGGAAGGGCGGGGACCUGCUGCGGGACUCCAGAAGGCAUUUCCGAGCUGAGUUAGGGGCAGUUGACCCAGGGAAAUGUCCCAUUUCAAGGCAGAAGGUUUCCAGAGUUAGAGAAUUAAGCAAAGCUUCACAACCUCUUGGAUCUCAAAGCCCUGAUAAGGUCUGCACUUGUUCAGAGUUCAGACCGCUGCAGGGGAGGCAGCCAGAGGGUCAGAGGCUCCGUUUCCUUUGAUGGAACCUCCUGAAGCGACCUUCCUCCCACCUCAAAACCGGCCUCCUGUGAAACCACCUUCCUUUUGAACACGUUUCUUCCCGGGAAGUUCCCGAGGGGCAGCUCCCCACCGUUCUCUGAGAGCGGGGACAGUCUUUGGAGCAGCCUUAUCUUUUCCCCUGUGGACUGUCCCCUCCUUACUUAAUUCUGGUCAGCAGACUCUUUCUAGUUAAAGGCUGACCCACUCUGGUUUUAAGAGAGAUUAUACUCAUUUCAGGCCCAGAUAACAUAUAUUAGCACAAAUUUUAUUCCGAAUUUUAAGAAGGACAUGUUUAAAAAGGGAAUUCCACGACCCUUUUACUCCAAGCAUUGGUCUUACAAGAAGCCCAUCUCUGGCCACUGGGGGUCUCUGGGUCUCACUGCUCCAGGAGCUCCUCCCCACUAGAAGGGUGGAGGGUUCCCUCUAGAAACUGCAAUGCCAACCAUGUCAGCAACUUCAGUGACUGUCAGAAGAACGUCCCACUGUAGGAGGACAGAGGGAAAUAUGGAGAUGACGGACAAGGACUGUCUGCUCUUGUGCUCGCUUUCCAUGGAUCACCUGCACUGACAACUGUGCGCCACUGACAGUGCCAGCCGAGUGGCGGGGCUGCCACGCUGAGCCCUCAGGGGACUGGAGGAGACACUGGCUGACCAACUGCUGACAAAGCAUCUUGUUGAGUAGACUGUUCCCGUGGGACUCUUUAUGGCACCUUUGGCUUUCUGAUUUUUUCCAUAAAUCUGCCUUGAUCCUGAAAUCUCUGGAGCACUUAUAAAUGACAGACUUUGCUGAAAAAAGCAAGGCUUUAAACUGAUACUGCUUGUUGCCUGCCCAGGGUCUGUUCUUUCUCCUUUUGUAACAGAAGUCUUGCGCAAUGGGGCAGAUUUUAUAUAUAUGUAUAAAUAAAUAAAAUCAACUGCAUUCCAAGCCUCUUGUGCAGGUUGGGUGUUACCAAAUACGAGGGCAACCUCGGUGAGGCCUCUUGGAAGGCCCCUUUCCCCUGUCCAGUUGCAGCUGAAAUGAGGACACAGUGGCUGAAGAUCCCAUCGUGGUCCUGCGAGCUCAGUGCCAGGAGCCACCCACCGAGGGGCAUGGGGCAGGAACAGGAGGGGCCUGUGCACUGAUGACCUGUUGGGGCCACCAUACCAGCCCUGGACUCCUCCCUCCUUUGGGUACUUAAGAAGAUUAGGGAUUUAUUCUCUCAAGUCCUUGACAUCGGCAACCCCCGUCAGGGGCAGGAGGCAACCGUGACCAGCGCCAAACGAACAACGUCACUGCCAGACACCAAGGAAAAUCAGACAGAAGAAAGAUGCACCUCGCCUUUCCCCAGUCCAGAUACACAUCUUCUGGCUUAUUUUUUUCCCUCAUUGCCAUGGAAAUAACCUUAGCCAGAACCUUUGAGCGAGGGGUCAGGGGGAUCUUUUGGCCUUGCCCCCAAACGGGAGUGAACCUCACAUCUUAUCAGCUAGUCAGUGACCAACGUGUGGACGGGAACACAUUACAGGCAUGUAAGUAGAUGACACUUACUACACGUAUAAUAUGAGUGGAGCUUAAUCAUGAAUGCUGACUUUAACAAGAAUCCAUGAAUUCACCUCCCUCCCCACCCGCAACGAGUUAGUUUAAACGAGACAUCCUGGUAAUGUUCCUGCUCCUUUUAGUCUAAUUACAAAAGUAAUACAAAAACUCAUUUAACCAGAAAAAUCUGCAGAUACAUAAUAAAUACAGAAAUAGAGGGAGAUAAAAAGAACCAGUAAUUCUACCCAGAGAGAAUUCCUUUUAAUGCCACUGAGAUACCUCCCGGACCCUUUUAGACAGACAUCUGUUGUUAGAUGGCAUCAUGCUACAGGUGCAAUCGUGCACCUGUCAUUGUAUAAUUGCACCGGUUUAUAGUGCACGGCAAACAUCUUUCCAUUUCAGUGUAGCAAGGGCAGCCUCUGCUCUAUGCAGCUCCACCCAGGUCCUGGACCUCUGACUGUCCCUCCAUAGCACCACUUCCCUCUCUGUUUCUAGAAGGGCUUUCGAGGUGGUAGUGCCCUCCAGAGGAUGCCUUGAGGCCAGAACAGCCAAAGCUACUUCUCUGCACGGGUAUCAACAGGCAUGGCUUGGGACCGUGGCAGGCUGGCUGGCUGGCUGCCCCUGGGCAUGCAGACCAUUCUGACUCACACCAACGAUCUCCUUAGGUUCCCCCACCCCAGCCCCUCAACUUUCCCAGGAUCGCGUCUCUCCCCUCCUCCCCAGGCUUUCACCCCAUCCAGUGCGCUCCAGAGGUUUCUCGCUCUCGAGCUGCUCUCCAGCAUGUUAGAGGCGUGCGCUCCACUGGGCUUUCACUCUGGUUCCUUAGUAAACUCAACAUAAACUGCACGCUUCUCCCCUCCAUACACAGCAGCCCGAACCACCCACCUCUCCUUGAGGCCAUGCAUACACCCCCGACCUGAGCAAAGUGUGUAAGUACCCCACUACACCAACAAGUAGGAGAGGGCUGACUCAAAACUGCUGUUGAACAGUCUAGAAAGGGCCCCUGCUGUGCCUCUGGCUCUCCACUUGUAAUGUCUGUGACCUCGGAGACGUUCAGUUCAAAGGAUCGGAGGAGUUGAGCACUUUAGGUAAUUUUCAGUCAAGGACACAAACCACCUGCUUUCCCUCACGCUGCUGAGGGGCAGUGCUAACAUUAGGACUAGCCUGCAGAGUCUACAACAAGUAAAGCACCUCGGAAACGCAAAAGGCAUGAUGUUUUUGCCAUUCUCCUGGGUGAGUCUCACAGCCCUCGGAGGGGAGAAUUCUUCUCAAGGAUAAUAAUGGCUAACAUGCACCACGUGCGUAUUCCAGGCAGGCCCUUUUCACGUAGUAUCUCAUUUAAUCCUCACACACACCCAGGAUGUAGAGACUAUUAUCCCAUUUUACUGAUGAGGAAAUUGAGGUGGGGGAGGUUAACUAACUUGCCUGGGGUCACACGGCUAGUAGGUAGUAUACCCAGGAUUGAACCCCAAAACCUGACUCCUGAGCUCAUUCUCUCUCCAGGGUGCAGCCCCCAGAAGGGGCCUCAAAACAGCCUCUUAGUCAGUCGCCCACUUCUAAAGACCAAGUGAUUUGUCUUAAGAAGGCCACCCACUAUUUCAGAUUCAGACACACACACACACAAAGCACGCCAACAGAAAAGCUACAUUUGCAAAGAUUGGCAUCACUGGAUGCCGGUGAGAAUGUGGAGCACAGAGACCACUCACCACAGCUGUGGGAGCAUAAAUCAGUGGAAUCACUUGGGCAUCAUCUAGUCAAGUCGAAGGAACGUACCCCACGCCCCGGCAGUUCUAACCCAACAUAUCUACUCUGCUUAAAUGUGGGUACACGGAGGCAUCGAGGAGAACGCAGAUGUCUUCAUAGGAUCCCCUCACUGGUAACAAGCAAAUGUCCACAAUCAAGUGAAUUUGUAAAAACCGGUUGAUUAUUCACACAGUACGACGCUAUACGCUGAAUUAACGACAGCCGUGUGCAAUGUGACCGCGUCUCGCAAACAUCACGCUGGUCAAAACCAACAUAAAGAACGAAAGCCAGACGUAAAGAACACACACUGGAUGGAUGCACUUCUGAAAAAUUUCAACAACAGGGAAAAAUCAAACAACAGUGUCCAUGGAUGUAUAUUUAAGUAGUAAAAUUUUAAAGAAAAGCAAAGAAGUGAAUGAGCAUAAAAGGAGGCCCAGCGAUCACCUUUGAAAAGGGGAACCGCAGCCCAGAAGGGAUGCGCGCGAGGGUUCCGGGGGGCGCGCAGCUGGUGAUCUCCUGAACUGAGAAGGCGUUUACUUUAUACGAGAGAAAAAUUAAGCUGUACCUUAUGUUUCAUAUACUUUUCUAUAUGGUUGUUUCAGUUCACAAUAAAGAGAAUUAAAGUAAACGUCAAAAGCUAUCUGCAGAAAAAAUAAAAAUCUGGCCGAAAAUCCCUCCGUGCUAUGGGGCGGGCCUCCUUUCUGCUGUGCUUACUUACCUGGAGAAGACGGUCUUGGAAAUGACACAGCAGGUGUCUGAGGCUCUUCCCGGGGACACUGCGAUUUCCAAAGGCCUCGCUGCAGAGGGAUUGGCCGCGUGUCAUCAGACUUUGAGCUGUGGUGUGCGUGAAAUAACUUCAGCUACUUAUUUCCUUUUGGAACUGUGCCCAUCCCACCAGAGGGGUGCUCCUUUGUCCCCCAGCCUGCAACUGCGAGGGAGGUGGAAAUCUGUGCUUCUGAUACCUGGGUCCUGGGGCCCACGGCACAGCAGGAGGACAUCACGACAGUUGUGGGCAUGGGGGAGUCAGAGCGCGGUGGUCCUGCCUUGACAGUGGGCCUUGGGGGGCAGAGUGACUGGCUCAGGGGCACAGAACGAGAUAACAGGUUUGCACCUCGAACCCAGGCCAGACGCAUCGCCCCGUGCUCCUCGAGAGGGGGGAAAGCGUCUCUCCCGGUUCUGUUCUCUUGGAGCUUUUCCUCUAGUUUUCAUUCAUCAGUCAGGGAUUUCCAUCAGCUGGAACAGAAACCGACGGCACAGAGCGUGGCUUUCAUUUUCUCUCCUCUAACAGCGCAUCUCCAGAUUCACAUCAAUGUCUCAAAAGAACUUCAGAGAAGACCUGUUUGGGUCCAUUUCCAGAAACGAAAUGUCCAGCCUCUCUGUGCUUAGAUUUUACCCUCCUUUCAAGCUAAUAGGUUAGCCCGUUGCUGUUUCUUGCAUGCUGCCAGAAGACAAGGGAUGGGUCAGAGACUAGAGACUUUAUUAUGCAGAGCACAGCACCCAGCAUGAACACCAGCGUCUCUGGUGGGGCCUCCCGGAGUCUCAGGUGAGCAGCCAGAUGGCAUAACCCAGAGGGCGACCACACAGGCAAUGGGUGUGCACCACAGCUGAGGAUCUUGGAGCUGGGGGAAGCCACUGCUUUUAUAGCACGCAAGCCUGCUCUUUGUCCAGGGGGAGACAGUCCCUUGUCCCACAAGGUCACCAGCUGUGU
RNAcentral lists this long non-coding RNA (6126 nucleotides) under Equus caballus (horse). Its description in RNAcentral is "lncRNA (ENSECAG00000054109.1)". The record is from RNAcentral. Lineage: Eukaryota; Metazoa; Chordata; Mammalia; Perissodactyla; Equidae.